GAACGCUGGCGGCGUGCCUAAUACAUGCAAGUCGAGCGAACAGACAAGGAGCUUGCUCCUUUGACGUUAGCGGCGGACGGGUGAGUAACACGUGGGUAACCUACCUAUAAGACUGGGAUAACUUCGGGAAACCGGAGCUAAUACCGGAUAAUAUUUCGAACCGCAUGGUUCGAUAGUGAAAGAUGGUUUUGCUAUCACUUAUAGAUGGACCCGCGCCGUAUUAGCUAGUUGGUAAGGUAACGGCUUACCAAGGCGACGAUACGUAGCCGACCUGAGAGGGUGAUCGGCCACACUGGAACUGAGACACGGUCCAGACUCCUACGGGAGGCAGCAGUAGGGAAUCUUCCGCAAUGGGCGAAAGCCUGACGGAGCAACGCCGCGUGAGUGAUGAAGGUCUUCGGAUCGUAAAACUCUGUUAUUAGGGAAGAACAUACGUGUAAGUAACUAUGCACGUCUUGACGGUACCUAAUCAGAAAGCCACGGCUAACUACGUGCCAGCAGCCGCGGUAAUACGUAGGUGGCAAGCGUUAUCCGGAAUUAUUGGGCGUAAAGCGCGCGUAGGCGGUUUUUUAAGUCUGAUGUGAAAGCCCACGGCUCAACCGUGGAGGGUCAUUGGAAACUGGAAAACUUGAGUGCAGAAGAGGAAAGUGGAAUUCCAUGUGUAGCGGUGAAAUGCGCAGAGAUAUGGAGGAACACCAGUGGCGAAGGCGACUUUCUGGUCUGUAACUGACGCUGAUGUGCGAAAGCGUGGGGAUCAAACAGGAUUAGAUACCUGGUAGUCCCACGCCGUAAACGAUGAGUGCUAAGUGUUAGGGGGUUUCCGCCCCUUAGUGCUGCAGCUAACGCAUUAAGCACUCCGCCUGGGGAGUACGACCGCAAGGUUGAAACUCAAAGGAAUUGACGGGGACCCGCACAAGCGGUGGAGCAUGUGGU
RNAcentral lists this ribosomal RNA (933 nucleotides) under Staphylococcus haemolyticus. Its description in RNAcentral is "bacterial SSU rRNA". It matches the Rfam family "Bacterial small subunit ribosomal RNA", at positions 31 to 945 of the family's 1533-position model. The record is from RNAcentral. Lineage: Bacteria; Bacillati; Bacillota; Bacilli; Caryophanales; Staphylococcaceae.